Molecule: long non-coding RNA, 1300 nt
Organism: Anthonomus grandis grandis
Lineage: Eukaryota; Metazoa; Arthropoda; Insecta; Coleoptera; Curculionidae
Exons: 4
Source: RefSeq, a predicted model, not a curated record
AAUUUCCAGUUUGUCUGCAGUGACGGCCGCAGCAGCACCAGUACCACGCGAGAAGACACGUUUCUUGGGACCGUUCACUAAGCCUACUUAAUUUUUUUAGGUCAGUCUGUCAUUUGUUCGAAGGUUCUAGCCGUGUUUUAUUGGGAUUGGUUUAAAGAACUCACUUCGUUUGGUAUUGAACUAUCAGAUCAAUCAGGGAGUCAAUCAUCAUCAAAGGGUUGAACAGUUCUUCCAGCGUGGCCUCUUCGUUGUUCUUUUAAAUACCGUGUACCACGUGGCCCAAUAACUAAAUUUACAAACGUACAUGGGGCCGGAUGAUUUUGUAAAGGAAGCCUUUUCGCUUACACUGUGUUUGCUGCGGCUACAUUCUGUUGAUACUCUCCAUAAGACAUGGAUGACGCAAUGAAUAAAAAGUUAUCAAAUGGCCACAUUUGAUUUGAUGAUGCUCAGUUUACUUAUGCCAGAUAAGAAUUCCUUUUGUUUAAAAUAAAAAAAGGAAGAAAAAACCUGCGCAUACCCACCUUAAAAAUGCAGACCGCAAGCGGUUGUACGAAGAUCACCCCACUAGUAUAGGGAAUGAUAUUUCGACACACUCGUAUUAAACGCCGUCUGUAUUUAUUAAAUUUGCCGUACUUCGAUAAGUAAAUUAAUAUUAUUUAGUUUUAAGUAAUUAAGUGAUUUACUUUUGAAAAUAUACUGUAGUGAGUUUGUUUAUUUUUUUGUCCCUUUUUAUCUAACACUAGGAACAAAGUAUAAUUUACUCUGUUAUUAAAUUAAUAUACAUUGUCGACUUAUGUCUAUUUCUGAAAGCACUUAACAGAAACUUCUAGUACGUGCACAUAUUGGACGCAUUUGAAUAAGGAAGCUGUGCUGGUUGUGGGGUUUAAUUGCUUUAUAUUUCCACAGUUUCGAUCGUUCGAAGUUUUAAUUAAUGAAUGCCCUUAAUGACAGACUCUAGGGUAAUAUUAAUUUAAUUUAGGUUAAUUUGCAUUUUAGGUCGUUUAUAAUAUUCACUUCUGCAUAGGGAUUUGCAUACACAGGGAGGAGAAGUCAGCAAAUAAAUCGACCGCGUCAUGUCCAUCUUUAUUGCACUCUUACUACUUACUUUAUUUGAUUUUUUUGUCAGUACUAAGCAGGUCAUCUAGUUUCUAAGGUCUGAUGAUGCUUUAUUAGCGAAACAUUUAACCUUCGUGACAUAUAUAAAGGAUGUUUUGAGACCGAGACAUGGAAUUUUAAUUUUAUCUCUUCUUUAUAGAACUCGACCACAAAAAAAAGAGAAUAUAAAAAUUAUGAGAUUCUU